CUUUGCCAUCCACCCAGGCACAAUUUACUGAAAGCUCAGGGUUUGGAACAGUGUGACAUUUUGACCCUCAGCUGUGCAUCUUGAGUUGAAUUAAAGUAUCAUUUGGACAAAAGCCAGGUGGGAACUUAUAAACUGAAAUGCACGUCAUGCUCAGCACAUCCCAAGUCCUGCAGUACAGCUACACAAUGAUGUAUUUGCGAGGCUGACAUGAGGCUUGGGAGAUGGCCUCUAAUCAAACAGACAGUAAAGGCAUUGUGUUUCUCUGAGGCUGGUACAAGCUGACAUGUACUCCUGUCUCCAUAUAUGCUGUCCUUGCUCCAGAAAACUCUAGCAGCAGAAUACCUUGUGACUGAUCUCCUUUGAAUGUUAACAAGCAAAGAACAUGCCAUUAAUAAAAUCCAAAG
This 404-nucleotide long non-coding RNA is filed under the name Anser brachyrhynchus (Pink-footed goose). RNAcentral describes it as "lncRNA (ENSABRG00000008270.1)". Lineage: Eukaryota; Metazoa; Chordata; Aves; Anseriformes; Anatidae. The record is from RNAcentral.